This 1469-nucleotide ribosomal RNA is filed under the name metagenome. RNAcentral describes it as "bacterial SSU rRNA". It matches the Rfam family "Bacterial small subunit ribosomal RNA". The record is from RNAcentral.
AGAGUUUGAUCCUGGCUCAGGACGAACGCUGGCGGCACGCUUAACACAUGCAAGUCGAACGAGAGAAGAGGAGCUUGCUUUUCUGAUCUAGUGGCGGACGGGUGAGUAACACGUGAGCAAUCUGCCUUUCAGAGGGGGAUACCGAUUGGAAACGAUCGUUAAUACCGCAUAACAUAAUUGAACCGCAUGAUUUGAUUAUCAAAGAUUUAUCGCUGAAAGAUGAGCUCGCGUCUGAUUAGCUAGUUGGUAAGGUAACGGCUUACCAAGGCGACGAUCAGUAGCCGGACUGAGAGGUUGAUCGGCACAUUGGGACUGAGACACGGCCCAGACUCCUACGGGAGGCAGCAGUGGGGAAUAUUGCACAAUGGAGGAAACUCUGAUGCAGCGAUGCCGCGUGAGGGAAGAAGGUUUUAGGAUUGUAAACCUCUGUCUUCAGGGACGAAAAAAGACGGUACCUGAGGAGGAAGCUCCGGCUAACUACGUGCCAGCAGCCGCGGUAAUACGUAGGGAGCGAGCGUUGUCCGGAAUUACUGGGUGUAAAGGGAGCGUAGGCGGGAUCGCAAGUCAGAUGUGAAAACUAUGGGCUUAACCCAUAAACUGCAUUUGAAACUGUGGUUCUUGAGUGAAGUAGAGGUAAGCGGAAUUCCUAGUGUAGCGGUGAAAUGCGUAGAUAUUAGGAGGAACAUCAGUGGCGAAGGCGGCUUACUGGGCUUUAACUGACGCUGAGGCUCGAAAGCGUGGGGAGCAAACAGGAUUAGAUACCCUGGUAGUCCACGCCGUAAACGAUGAUUACUAGGUGUGGGGGGACUGACCCCUUCCGUGCCGCAGCAAACGCAAUAAGUAAUCCACCUGGGGAGUACGACCGCAAGGUUGAAACUCAAAGGAAUUGACGGGGGCCCGCACAAGCAGUGGAGUAUGUGGAUUAAUUCGAAGCAACGCGAAGAACCUUACCAGGUCUUGACAUCGUAUGCAUAGCUCAGAGAUGAGUGAAAUCUCUUCGGAGACAUAUAGACAGGUGGUGCAUGGUUGUCGUCAGCUCGUGUCGUGAGAUGUUGGGUUAAGUCCCGCAACGAGCGCAACCCUUACUGUUAGUUGCUACGCAAGAGCACUCUAGCAGGACUGCCGUUGACAAAACGGAGGAAGGUGGGGAUGACGUCAAAUCAUCAUGCCCCUUAUGACCUGGGCCUCACACGUACUACAAUGGCUGUCAACAGAGGGAAGCAAAGCCGCGAGGUGGAGCGAACCCCUAAAAGCAGUCUUAGUUCGGAUUGUAGGCUGCAACCCGCCUACAUGAAGUCGGAAUUGCUAGUAAUCGCAGAUCAGCAUGCUGCGGUGAAUACGUUCCCGGGCCUUGUACACACCGCCCGUCACGCCAUGGGAGUCGGUAACACCCGAAGCCUGUAGUCUAACCGCAAGGAGGACGCAGUCGAAGGUGGGAUUGAUGACUGGGGUGAAGUCGGAACAAGGUA